Molecule: ribosomal RNA, 603 nt
Filed under: Cautires sp. UPOL AJ0044
Lineage: Eukaryota; Metazoa; Arthropoda; Insecta; Coleoptera; Lycidae
Also listed under: 2 other names
Description: partial 16S ribosomal RNA
Rfam family: Bacterial large subunit ribosomal RNA
Source: RNAcentral
CAUGGCCUUUUGAAAAUAAUUUAAGGUCUUACCUGCUCAAUGAUUUUUAAAUAGCCGCAGUAUUUUGACUGUGCAAAGGUAGCAUAAUAAUUAGUUUCUUAAUUAGGAACUAGAAUGAAUGGUUGGACAAGAAAAUUUCUGUCUCUUUUUUAGUAUUUAUGAACUUUAUUUUUAAGUGAAAAAGCUUAAAUGUAUAUAAAAGACGAGAAGACCCUAUAGAGUUUAAUAUUUGUAUUUAAUAAGAAAUUAGUAUAUUCAUUUAAUAGUAAAUAUUUGAUUGGGGUGAUUUAAAGAAAUAAAUAAUUCUUUAAAGUUUUAAUUGAUUAUUUUCAAUUUAAAGAUCUAAAAUUUUUAAAAUUAAAAUAAAUUACCUUAGGGAUAACAGCGUAAUUUUUCUUGAAAGCUCUUAUUUAAAGGAAAGUUUGCGACCUCGAUGUUGGAUUAAAAUUAAUUAUUGGUGCAAUAACUAAUAAAUUAGGUCUGUUCGACCUUUAAAAUUUUACAUGAUCUGAGUUUAAACCGGUGUGAGCCAGGUUGGAUUCUAUCUUUAAAAAAUUAUUAUAUUUUAGUACGAAAGGACCAGAUAUAAGUUAUAUUAAUUGU